AACGAACGCUGGCGGCAUGCCUAACACAUGCAAGUCGAACGAAACCUUCGUGUCUAUUUGCGCACGUGUACUUAACACGUGGUGACCUGCCCUUAGGUUCGCAAUAACUCCCCGUAGGAUAUGCUAAUACCAGUGAAUGUCUUCGGGCCAAAGAGUUAUCGCCUUUGGAUGGGCCCUCGUUGGUUUAGCUAGUUGGUAGUGUAAAAGCAUACCAAGGCGACGAUGCAUAGCUGGUAUGAGAGCAUGCUCAUCCACAAUGGGACUGAGACACGGACCAGACCGCGACGGAAGGCAGCAGUAGGGAAUACUAGACACUGGGCGAAAGUGUGAUAAAGCCACGCGGCGUGAGUGAUGCAGGCGGUAGUGUUGUACAGCCCUCUUACACGGGAUGAUAAUGACAGUAACGGGAGAAUAAGCACCGGCUAACUACGUG
RNAcentral lists this ribosomal RNA (433 nucleotides) under uncultured bacterium. Its description in RNAcentral is "partial 16S ribosomal RNA". It matches the Rfam family "Bacterial small subunit ribosomal RNA", at positions 29 to 507 of the family's 1533-position model. The record is from RNAcentral.